CCUAUAUAUAUAGCAUCAAAAGUUUGCAUUUUUACCACACAAUUUCGAUCAUUACUAUUAUCUCUAAUACUUCAUUACACAUCAAAAGGAAAUCAGAAAUGAAACGUUCCAUUUUCGCAGCUCUUCUCGUGAUGCUUAUCCUCUCUUCAUUUAUUUGUGCAGAAAGCCAAGUAUUUAAGACGUGUGACGAAGAACUUCCUUCAAAUGGGGAAUUGUGUGCUGCGUAUAAAUGCCAAUUCGAUUGCAAGAGAGCGCGUGGAUACGGUGCCACGGGACGUUGUAAUAAGAUAAGACAAAUUUGUGAAUGUCGCUACCAGUGUAAUAAUCCUCCAAAAUAAUGUUUUGUUACAUUCAACUAUAAUAAAAUGGAUUUAUCAAAAAAAAAAAAAACUAUAAUGAAAUGGAUCCUGUUAUUCUAGAUCAAAGCUUUUCUAUAUAUUGAAGUUGUGCCCAUGACAUGUUAUUAUUUAUC
This is a long non-coding RNA of Salvia miltiorrhiza (redroot sage), 472 nucleotides long. RefSeq lists it as uncharacterized. The record is from RefSeq and is a predicted model, not a curated record. NCBI's taxonomy places the organism in Eukaryota, Viridiplantae, Streptophyta, Magnoliopsida, Lamiales, Lamiaceae. The transcript has 2 exons.